Molecule: long non-coding RNA, 165 nt
Organism: Drosophila biarmipes
Lineage: Eukaryota; Metazoa; Arthropoda; Insecta; Diptera; Drosophilidae
Exons: 2
Source: RefSeq, a predicted model, not a curated record
CAAAACUAAGAUUUUGCUGGUUUGCACCCACGCACCUACUUGUGUAUUGCAUUCAGAAACAAGAUAAAAAAUAAAACAAAGUCAAGGAGUUAAGGAUUACUAGAGUUUAAAUUUGAAAAUGUAUAAAUUUGAUCGAAUUAAAAAUAAACUGCGCACUUUAAAAAA